UGUGACUGGAUACCUAUGCUCAUGUGAAGCUCUUUCGACGAGUCGAGUUGUUUGGGAAUGCAGCUCAAAAUGGGAGGUAUAUUUCUUCUAAAGCUAAAUAUUGGCCAGAGACCGAUAGCGCACAAGUAGAGUGAUCGAAAGAUGAAAAGCACUUUGGAAAGAGAGUUAAACAGUACGUGAAAUUGUUGAAAGGGAAGCGCUUGCAAUCAGACUUGCACUUGGUGUUCAUCAGGGUCUCGUACCCUGUGUACUUCAUCAAGUUCAGGCCAGCAUCAGUUUGAGUGGUUAGAUAAAGGCUUAGAGAAUGUGGCCCUCUUCGGGGGGUGUUAUAGCUCUAGGUGCAAUGUAGCCUACUUGGACUGAGGACCGCGGAUGCUG
RNAcentral lists this ribosomal RNA (378 nucleotides) under Botrytis cinerea. RNAcentral describes it as "partial large subunit ribosomal RNA". It matches the Rfam family "Eukaryotic large subunit ribosomal RNA", at positions 224 to 628 of the family's 3401-position model. Lineage: Eukaryota; Fungi; Ascomycota; Leotiomycetes; Helotiales; Sclerotiniaceae. The record is from RNAcentral.